This 1355-nucleotide ribosomal RNA is filed under the name uncultured bacterium. RNAcentral's name for it is "bacterial SSU rRNA". It matches the Rfam family "Bacterial small subunit ribosomal RNA", at positions 28 to 1381 of the family's 1533-position model. The record is from RNAcentral.
GAUGAACGCUAGCGGCAGGCCUAACACAUGCAAGUCGAGGGGCAGCGAGAUGUAGCAAUACAUUGUCGGCGACCGGCGUAAGGGUGCGUAACACGUGAGUAACUUGCCCGUAACAGGGGGAUAAGCGAUGGAAACGUCGUCUAAUACCCCAUAAUAAUUGUUAUCGCAUGAUGAUGAUUUGAAAAUUCCGAUGGUUACGGAUAGACUCGCGUUACAUUAGCUAGUUGGUGAGGUAACGGCUCACCAAGGCGACGAUGUAUAGGGGUUCUGAGAGGAAGAUCCCCCACACUGGAACUGAGACACGGUCCAGACUCCUACGGGAGGCAGCAGUGAGGAAUAUUGGACAAUGGAGGGAACUCUGAUCCAGCCAUGCCGCGUGAAGGACUAAGGCCCUAUGGGUCGUAAACUUCUUUUGACGCAGAGCAAUAAGAGAUACGAGUAUUUUGAUGAGAGUAUGCGUCGAAUAAGCAUCGGCUAACUCCGUGCCAGCAGCCGCGGUAAUACGGAGGAUGCGAGCGUUAUCCGGGAUUUAUUGGGUUUAAAGGGUGCGUAGGCGGUUGUACAAGUCAGUGGUGAAAUACGAACGCUCAACGUUCGGGCUGCCAUUGAAACUGUACGGCUAGAGUUCGGAUGCCGUGGGAGGAAUGAGUAGUGUAGCGGUGAAAUGCAUAGAUAUUACUCAGAACACCGAUUGCGAAGGCAUCUCACGAAUGCGAAACUGACGCUGAUGCACGAAAGCGUGGGGAUCAAACAGGAUUAGAUACCCUGGUAGUCCACGCUGUAAACGAUGAUAACUAACUGCCGGCGAUAAACGGUCGGUGGCCAAGCGAAAGCGAUAAGUUAUCCACCUGGGGAGUACGACCGCAAGGUUGAAACUCAAAGGAAUUGACGGGGGCCCGCACAAGCGGAGGAACAUGUGGUUUAAUUCGAUGAUACGCGAGGAACCUUACCCAGGCAUCGAACGGCAUAUGAAUAUUGCAGAGAUGUGAUAGUCUUCGGACAUAUGUCGAGGUGCUGCAUGGUUGUCGUCAGCUCGUGCCGUGAGGUGUCGGCUUAAGUGCCAUAACGAGCGCAACCCUUGUCGUUAGUUACCAUCAAGUAAAGUUGGGGACUCUAACGAGACUGCCACCGCAAGGUGUGAGGAAGGGGGGGAUGACGUCAAAUCAGCACGGCCCUUACGUCUGGGGCGACACACGUGUUACAAUGGUAGGUACAGAGGGCAGCUAUUGAGUGAUCAAGUGCAAAUCUCAAAAACCUAUCUCAGUUCGGACUGGAGUCUGCAACCCGACUCCACGAAGCUGGAUUCGCUAGUAAUCGCGCAUCAGCCAUGGCGCGGUGAAUACGUUCCCGGGCCU